GCAGUACUGGAGGGCCCAGAAAUGGAGGAGGACCGAGAGAAUCUCAAGCAGCACUACAGGCUCCUUCUGGGAAGUCUCCUCAUAGCAGCGCCUAAUCCUGGCACCCUCCUCCAACUUCUAACUGACCUCCGAGGAUACGCCCUGGGUGAAAGCGGUGAGGCUCAGGAUUUAGCCGCCAGGAGCAUUUCAUUGCUACUGAAAAUUGCCCGCAGAUACCCGCGCCUUAGAGUACGUACCUCGCUUU
Lacerta agilis (Sand lizard) is the source of this 244-nucleotide long non-coding RNA. RefSeq lists it as uncharacterized. Lineage: Eukaryota; Metazoa; Chordata; Lepidosauria; Squamata; Lacertidae. The record is from RefSeq and is a predicted model, not a curated record. The transcript is spliced from 3 exons.